RNAcentral lists this transfer RNA (76 nucleotides) under Actinoplanes friuliensis DSM 7358. RNAcentral's name for it is "tRNA-OTHER". Lineage: Bacteria; Bacillati; Actinomycetota; Actinomycetes; Micromonosporales; Micromonosporaceae. The record is from RNAcentral.
GCCGCGGAUCGCUCUGGCGCCGAUCAACGAACUUCUAAUCCGUCGGUCGCAGGUCCAAAUCCUGCGGGGCGCGUCA